Molecule: ribosomal RNA, 1480 nt
Filed under: metagenome
Description: bacterial SSU rRNA
Rfam family: Bacterial small subunit ribosomal RNA
Source: RNAcentral
AGAGUUUGAUCCUGGCUCAGGAUGAACGCUAGCGGCAGGCUUAACACAUGCAAGUCGAGGGGCAGCAGACCAUUUCGGUGGUGCUGGCGACCGGCGCACGGGUGAGGAACACGUUUGUAACCUACCUUUAACUGGGGGAUAGCCCGAAGAAAUUCGGAUUAAUACCCCAUAAUAUCAUAACAGGACAUCCUGUUUUGAUUAAAGCUCCGGCGGUUAAAGAUGGGCAUGCGUGACAUUAGCUGGUUGGUGAGGUAAUAGCUCACCAAGGCUACGAUGUCUAGGGGGUCUGAGAGGAUGAUCCCCCACACUGGUACUGAGACACGGACCAGACUCCUACGGGAGGCAGCAGUGAGGAAUAUUGGGCAAUGGACGCAAGUCUGACCCAGCCAUGCCGCGUGCAGGAUGAAUGCCCUAUGGGUUGUAAACUGCUUUUAUAUAAGAAGAAACCCUCGUACGUGUACGAGAUUGACGGUAUUGUAUGAAUAAGCAUCGGCUGACUCCGUGCCAGCAGCCGCGGUAAUACGGAGGAUGCAAGCGUUAUCCGGAUUUAUUGGGUUUAAAGGGUGCGCAGGCGGGGUAGUAAGUCAGUGGUGAAAUCCUGCGGCUCAACCGUAGAACUGCCAUUGAUACUGCUAUCCUUGAGUGUAGUUGAGGUGGGCGGAAUGUGUAAUGUAGCGGUGAAAUGCAUAGAUAUUACACAGAACACCGAUUGCGAAGGCAGCUCACUAAACUACUACUGACGCUGAGGCACGAAAGCGUGGGGAGCGAACAGGAUUAGAUACCCUGGUAGUCCACGCCGUAAACGAUGAUCACUCGUUGUUGGCGAUACACAGUCAGCGACUGAGCGAAAGCAUUAAGUGAUCCACCUGGGGAGUACGAUCGCAAGAUUGAAACUCAAAGGAAUUGACGGGGGCCCGCACAAGCGGAGGAACAUGUGGUUUAAUUCGAUGAUACGCGAGGAACCUUACCUGGGCUUAAAUGCAGAAUGACGUACCGGGAAACUGGUAUUCCCUUCGGGGCAGACUGCAAGGUGCUGCAUGGCUGUCGUCAGCUCGUGCCGUGAGGUGUCGGGUUAAGUCCCAUAACGAGCGCAACCCCUAUUGUUAGUUGCCAGCGGAUAAUGCCGGGGACUCUAACGAAACUGCCAGUGUAAACUGUGAGGAAGGUGGGGAUGACGUCAAGUCAGCACGGCCCUUAUGUCCAGGGCUACACACGUGUUACAAUGGCCGGUACAGAGGGCAGCUACCUGGUGACAGGACGCAAAUCUCGAAAACCGGUCUUAGUUCGGAUCGAAGUCAGCAACUCGACUUCGUGAAGUUGGAUUCGCUAGUAAUCGCGCAUCAGCCACGGCGCGGUGAAUACGUUCCCGGGCCUUACACACCGCCCGUCAAGCCAUGGAAGCCGGGGGUACCUGAAGUUCGUAACCGUAAGGAGCGACCUAGGGUAAAACUGGUGACUGGGGCUAAGUCGUAACAAGGUA